CAUAGGUUAAUGAGGCGAACCGGGGGAACUGAAACAUCUAAGUACCCCGAGGAAAAGAAAUCAACCGAGAUUCCCCCAGUAGCGGCGAGCGAACGGGGAGGAGCCCAGAGCCUGAAUCAGUGUGUGUGUUAGUGGAAGCGUCUGGAAAGGCGCGCGAUACAGGGUGACAGCCCCGUACACAAAAAUGCACAUGCUGUGAGCUCGAUGAGUAGGGCGGGACACGUGGUAUCCUGUCUGAAUAUGGGGGGACCAUCCUCCAAGGCUAAAUACUCCUGACUGACCGAUAGUGAACCAGUACCGUGAGGGAAA
This 309-nucleotide ribosomal RNA is filed under the name Escherichia coli. RNAcentral describes it as "partial 23S ribosomal RNA". It matches the Rfam family "Bacterial large subunit ribosomal RNA", at positions 165 to 512 of the family's 2925-position model. The record is from RNAcentral. Lineage: Bacteria; Pseudomonadati; Pseudomonadota; Gammaproteobacteria; Enterobacterales; Enterobacteriaceae.